GCCGGGCGUGGUGGCUCACGCCUGUAAUCCCAGCACUUUGGGAGGCCGAGGCGGGUGGAUCACCUGAGGUCGGGAGUUCAAGACCAGCCUGACCAACAUGGAGAAACCCCGUCUCUA
RNAcentral lists this small RNA (117 nucleotides) under Cercocebus atys (sooty mangabey). Its description in RNAcentral is "Metazoan signal recognition particle RNA". Lineage: Eukaryota; Metazoa; Chordata; Mammalia; Primates; Cercopithecidae. The record is from Rfam by way of RNAcentral. RNAcentral also lists the same sequence under 1 other name.